GCAUAUCAAUAAGCGGAGGAAAAGAAACUAACAAGGAUUCCCUUAGUAACGGCGAGUGAAGAGGGAAGAGCUCAAAUUUUAAAUCUAUCAUGUUUGUACAUGAUCGAGUUGUAAUUUGAAGAAGCGUUUUCUCGUACUUUAUGCAAUCAGUAUAAGUUCUCUUGGAACAGGACAUCAUAGAGGGUGAUAAUCCCGUCUGUUACUGGUUGUGAGGUUCGUUUAUGAUACGCUUUCAAAGAGUCGAGUUGUUUGGGAUUGCAGCUCAAAAUGGGAGGUAAAUUUCUCCUAAGGCUAAAUACCGGCGAGAGACCGAUAGCGAACAAGUACCGUGAGGGAAAGAUGAAAAGAAUUUUGAAAAGAAAGUUAAACAGUACGUGAAAUUGUUGAAAGGGAAACGAUUGAAGCCAGUCGUACUGACGGGAAAUCAGCUUCUCGAGUGCCUAUCGCGGGUGACGUUGAGCCUCACGGCCUUCGUUGCUUGUGUUGUUGGUGCUUUUGGGGUGUACUUUUCCGUAUGGUAGGUCAGCAUCGAUUUCGAACGUCAUAAAAUGAUCGGGGGAAUGUAGCUUCGGUCUCGUAUCGGAGUGUUAUAGACCUUGGCAGAUGUGACGAUUGGGAUCGAGGAUUGCAACGAAUACCCUUUUGGGCUAUCCGUCUGGCCUCUGAAAGUCGCUCGGGUGUCGAAAGCGUGCUUACGGCUAUCUGAGUUGGCGGUCAACAGGUUAGAACGCGGUUACAUUCGUUAAGGAUGUUGACGUA
This 759-nucleotide ribosomal RNA is filed under the name uncultured Glomerales. RNAcentral's name for it is "LSU rRNA". It matches the Rfam family "Eukaryotic large subunit ribosomal RNA", at positions 38 to 633 of the family's 3401-position model. Lineage: Eukaryota; Fungi; Glomeromycota; Glomeromycetes; Glomerales; Glomeraceae. The record is from RNAcentral.